UGGCGGACGGCUGAGUAACACGUGGGUGACCUGCCCUCGAGCGGGGGAUAACUGCCCGAAAGGGUGGCUAAUACCGCAGACGUCGCGGAUUCGGUUCCGCGACUGAACCUCCGGGGUUCGGGGAGGGGCCCGCGGUCGAUUAGCUGGCUGGUGGGGUAACGGCCUACCAGGGCUGCGAUCGAUAGCUGGUCUGAGAGGAUGAUCAGCCAGACUGGGACUGCGAACGGCCCAG
RNAcentral lists this ribosomal RNA (232 nucleotides) under uncultured bacterium. Its description in RNAcentral is "partial 16S ribosomal RNA". It matches the Rfam family "Bacterial small subunit ribosomal RNA", at positions 96 to 334 of the family's 1533-position model. The record is from RNAcentral.